UGUGUGGCCAAAUUUAAUUGGUCCAACACAUGUGUGGACCAUAGGGACAUGGAGAUAUUUUAGUGGGAACUUAAAAAUAUGACCUCUAAGUCAUUUCUCUUCAUUUCUACACUUAGAAUAAAAAUUAAGAAGGAGGAGAACAACAACUCCAACCUCACGGCUAAGAGGAGAGAAAAACAAGAUCAUCUUUUUAGCUCCUCUAAAAUUAUUCCAUUGAUGUAAACCCACUAUAUUGAGGUCCCUAAGUAGCGUGGAAGCAUCGUUGGAGCGAUCAACCCAUUAUUUUCAUCUUUUGGAAACCCUAGGCUAUUGGAAAGUUGAAGAAGGAAGAUCGUGGGCAGCCCGAAUCAUAGUUUGGACUUAGCUUGAGUUGGAUCAUAUUGGAGAGCGUUUGAGGUACAGACGCACAGCCUGGUGAUCCACCUGUUUAGGACACCCUUUCUGCUAUUCGGAGUGCUCCUCUCUUUCCGGAGCUUAUACUUUUGGUAUAUAUAUUUAUUAGUGCAUUUGUAUAUAUUCGUUCAUGGGUACGGCGGGGCCCUGUCCCGUCAUAUGAUUAUGUCGGUCUGUUUAGAGGUCUGUGGACAUG
Lycium barbarum (goji berry) is the source of this 589-nucleotide long non-coding RNA. RefSeq lists it as uncharacterized. Lineage: Eukaryota; Viridiplantae; Streptophyta; Magnoliopsida; Solanales; Solanaceae. The record is from RefSeq and is a predicted model, not a curated record. The transcript is spliced from 3 exons.